Non-coding RNA from Phalacrocorax carbo (great cormorant), 6170 nucleotides. NCBI's taxonomy places the organism in Eukaryota, Metazoa, Chordata, Aves, Suliformes, Phalacrocoracidae. The record is from RefSeq and is a predicted model, not a curated record.
GCGCCGCUGACGCGCUCCAGCGCGCAGGCGCACAAACCCGCCAAGAAGCGCCGGGUUGCUAAAGAGUGCGAGACAGGCAACGCGAAAAAGAGUCCUAGCGGAUGCGCAUGCGUAGAGAAGCGGGAGGUGGUGAGGCACUGCGAGGGGGCUGUACCAAGUAGCGACGGCGAAGGGGCGCCGAGGGCUUUCGGUGCCCCCCCCCGCGGCAGAUGGCACCAUCCGCCGGGAGCCUCAGGAGGAGAAGUUCCAGAGUGGGAUAUGGACCAUAGUACACCGCACAUGAGGAGGCAUUGUGUCCAGGAUAUCCAUAUCUAGCUGGAAGGUGUCUCGAGGUCUUUACCUUUUUUCCCUCCACAUGGUUACCAAGGAAUACAAAGCAAGCUAUCACUUUGUGUCAGAUGCAGGCAAGAUUUAAGAGCUCCAGAGCAGCUGAGAACAUGGAUACAGCAUCUUGGGUGUGAGGAUGACGCUACACUGGCAGAGGAAUCUUUAAGGGGUAGAGGCUUCAAUUUCCUGCUGAGUUUUGUCAAGAUCCAGGUCUGCUGAGAGAAAGUGUUGUCUGCAAGAUGGGAGUGUGGCUCUGUAGCACCUCCUGGACUGAAGGGGGUCACUGUCUGGGAGUACAGGACACGUGGGUUGCAGGGGAAGAGUUUUGGGAUUGCACAAAACUUACAGGAUCUUUAGGGGGGGAACCACAAGCAGAGAAAGGGAGGAAUAGAGGUGAUCUGGGGAGGAAAAUUUUGGAGAAAACAGAGGGAUAAGGGGCUGAAAGGGGGAGGCUGCAUGUAAACAGGUGGCUGGUCAGUAGGCUAGUCUGGCCACACCCUGCACUUGAUCAGCACAGUCUGUCCUGUCUUCUCAUUAAACUCCGUUUUAAUUUUCCUGGGUGCAGGGCUGUCUUCCGCAGAGUGGGACCGCGGAAUCGCAGGGGCCCCUGUCUGUGGUGGUAGCAACCGGAGUGGAUGAGGUUAUCUAAGUCAGUGUGUGAUCACCCCUGAAUAUCAGCCUGGGCUUGCAAAGUAGUUGAAGUGACCUGGGAGCCGGGUGAGCGCAUGUGUCUCUGAGAGUGAGACAACUGGAGGAGCUGGCUGCGGGAGGAAGUGGGGGUCCCAGCCAUGUGGCAGAGAGACUGUAGGGUCUAGGGUUGACUGAGAGAUCAGACGUGUGUGUCUCUCUCUCUAUGCAUGAGGCAACUGAGGACCAGCUACUGGAGGGACUGUCUAAGACCAGGUUACUGGAGGCAGCUAAAGCCAAUUCUUCACAUUUUUUGGGGCAAUUUACAUCUAUGCAGGGUAGGCCUCAUUCUGAUCCUAUAAAAUCAGAGUGUUUCAAUUUACCCCUCCUUUCUUCUCAGCCUCCAUAGAGGCAUGUUUCAGUGCUCUAUAUUUGUAGUGAUGGUGUAGAAAGCAAGAUGCAGAGAUUGCACAUGCUGUGCAAGUACAUAGAGACUUUUGAUCUUCCUGCUUUUUACAGCCAUUUGUUCUCACUCAAUGCAGGUACCAAGUAGUAGAAAACCAGACCCUUUGUGUCUGGAAUGCUUAGCACCCCUUUUCUAUACCUUUUCUAUGAAAAAGACCUCCAUUCUGCAUCCAGUUCCCUUGCUCUAGUUGUUUACCCAGGAAAUCUCUGGACUGAGAGUGUCUGUAAUGCACUGGAUUAGGCAGACAGGGGUGUGAAUAGUAACUAAGCAUUCCGGAUGAGGAGAGGAAAUACUGACAGGUUUCUUCCCCAUUCUCCUGAGGAAAACCCCCUUCACAAAGAGUUGUACGAAAUGUGCGCUACCCAUUGACAUGUCUCACCAAUACUAAGUCUGUUACAGUGUCCCUCAAAGAUUGCUUCAGGGUUCUGUCACACCAAACCUCACCACUUCCACAUGAUUAAUUACUGCCAAGUCCAGUCUCAAACAAGAGCCAGUAAUGAUGGAUAUAUUUGUGUAAGGUGUGGCAAAGCACUUAGGCAGAUGUAUAUGCUUGUAUAUAAUACAAGUUUCAAUAUACACUAGGGCUUCAUGAUGAGAUUUGGACAGUCCCUUACCAAGUGGGAGAGAACAGUUUGGCUUAGUGUGGGCUAAUGGUUCUUUUUUUAACAUUAGUGAAGUCUGGGGAGUGGCCCUUGGUAACAGGCGCUGCCUGCAGGAAGGAGAGGGAUGCCUACACCUGGCCUCAACAGGCAUACUGGAUGUUUGAGGAGGUGAAAGAAGUAAAGGUUUUGGGGGAGUGAGAAUUGUCAUUGUCUCCUGAAUAAAUUAAGAAUCAGUAAGUCUUUUGAUGGGGAGCAGGAGUUAGGGUGGAGGUGAGAAGGACAAAACAAAAGAGGCUAGAAAGGUGAGAAUCCAAACAGAUGCUAAUAGAGGGAGGAAGUACAUGUUCCCUGCCUGAGGUCUUUUUUAGGUUUGCUUUCACAGGAUAUGAUGGACUUGCAAAAGGACCACAUUCUGAGCACCAUGGUCCUGGUGCUGGUUUGACAUAAUAGAGUAUAGGAAGCUUUCUGCAUGUGAUCUCAAGAUGGGUAAAUACAAACAUAGUAAUCUUUUACUUCUGUUCAGCCAUUUUGCUAACUUCUGUUUCUAUUCAGGAACUUUAAGUGAGAAAUAUAGUGCCCUAGGCACCAUUUCCUGCCAGCAGAUGGGUCCUGCCAGGGGGUGGUAUGGAUCUUAGGAGCUGUGAAAAAUUAAGUGGGAUGGUUGGGCCCUGAAGGAAUCUUAACACUCCCUCUCACUCCCCGCUCCCCACCAAGUUCAAUAAAUCAGUGCACAGAAGCUGUUUGGAAAACAACCAAUUCAAAACAAAACUUCAUUUGUGGUAUUGUAAUUACAUGGAUGCUAAGCAACACCUACAAAGAAGCAAACUGUGUGGUGAUGGAGCCGUGGUGUCCUUUCAGAAACAUUUAAGAGAGUUCUGUUUUAAAAAGAAAAAAAAGUCCUUGAUAACAAGUCUAGUCUAGAAACUUUCCACAGCAGCUUUCCAUGAUAGUUUCAGAGUCAUUUAUGAUGAAAAAUUCUUCAUUAUCACCAGAAACUGCUCCUGCCAUAGGUAUAAAUUUACUCAGUGUUAUAUCAUGGUGGAAAACCACACAGGAACCUCUGUUACGAUUGUGUGAAUAUCACCGUCUUUCAGUUUAUUUAAGUGGGAGAUGGGUAUCAAGGCCCAAGCCUGUCCUGGAGAAGACAGUGAAAUGUGUGCACGUGGGCUAGCGCGUCACCCCAGCAGGCGCAGCUCCAGUGCUAGCCUGCAAUCCUUAUCACGCAUACAUCAGUAGUUCCUUUCUCUCCAGUGGAGUUUCACUGCUGCUGUGAGGAACAUCGCCUACAAUUCCUAAGUGUUGGAAAGCAACCAGAAAUUUGGUUUCUCUAGAUAAAACAAUACUUUAAAACUAGUAGUUUUUACUAGUUUUAGUUUAUCUAGAUAAAAAAAUACUUAAAAACUAGUAGUUUUGAGGUGGUGGUCUAUCUCAGAUUCACUAAGUUUUUUAAUAUCAACAGCUUGAUAUAUAAACCUAAGUCUUAUUGCUUUAAUCUUUAUAAUUUUAAUAUAGCCUUAUUUAUAAAAUGGAUUUCAUUCAUGUAACCAAUGUGCAGGAAUGUUUUACAGGCAUUGUUAAUUCCUUAUCCAGGAUUACAAAUAUGCCUAAGAAUAAAAUGAAAAUAGAUGUUAUGGUAUUAAUUUAUGCAUUUUUGGAAAACAUCAAAGUCGCAUAACCUUAUGUCUAAUGAUUUCAUUUAAUUAUAGAGUUCUGUGUUUUCAUCUUCAAAGAAAUCUACAAUGACUAAUUAAUCUUGCAGCAGCCCUUUGAAAUACAUAGAUAGACAUAAUUAAUCCCAUCUAACCGAUUCCUUGCCCAAGGCAAUACAUUGGAUCAAUAUUUAAGCCAAGAUUAGAGCUCAGUCUUACUCUGUGGUCAUUUCACUAAACUAGCAGUUCCCAAGUUCCCUCAGGUUGGGCUCGCUCCUACCUUGCUGUGAUAGUUUAGACAGACAUACGCCUUAGCCUGCACUGAGUCUUCAUCCUCUAUCUUCCACCUCUCUGCCAAAAUGCUGCUUCUCCCUCUCGCCCUCAAAAAUUACUUCCACUCCAGUCAAUACAGGUGUGGAAAGUCUAAUUUUUCCCCUCCAGAAUUCUGUACCCAGCUUUCACUUGCUUAUGCUUGUCACUGCCUGCCUGACUCUUUGAACCCGCAUCCUCGCACAAGUUCCCUGUCCUCCAGGUGCCACUGCCCGCCCUGUGGAGCUCUGCUUCCAUGCUUGGUGUGGGCAGUGGCGUCCCCCAGGGUAAUCACCUCUCUCUUCCCCUGCCUCUGGAUCCCCCCAGCAGCUGGGAGGAAGCGCUGCUGGUGGGGUUGGUGUAAACUGCUUUGUAUCUUCUAGUUGGCUUACUCUUGUACGGUGAGCAAGGAGAAAACUGAAGGUAAGAUUUGCACCAUUAAAUAGGAGAUACUGUUCUCAUAGACCGUGGCCCGUACCAAGGUGCAGCCUAAGUCCUUGUGUCUGUUAUUGUAGGUGGAGAUUCAUGAAAGGUUUUGUAGCACAUUGUGAGUUACAAAAGCACGUUAUAGGAUCAAGGUAAUAUUGAAGGCUAAUGAAGUUCAUGGGUGUGGAACCACAGAGAAGCUCAUGUUGUAUAAAACAGUAUUACUUGCCUUGAAAAUGGUCGUAUGAUAAUAUAGACUGGAGUGAGGCCGUUCUGAACACCGUGGUGAGCAGCAGGGAUUGCACAGCGACAAGUUUGUCUGUGGCAGACUGUGAUAAAGUCCUGAUUUCAUAGAAGAAACUAAUUCUGCAUAGCAUGUAGUGAUGGAUGAGGUACAAGAAAAGGGAGAAAAAAUUAAUGGAAAAGGAGAUUCCCACCUCACGUCAUCAAAGAAUGGCACCAGAACCUGAGAAAUAGUGCCAGAACCUGGACUUCCCACCAUGGCAGUGUUUAAGAUCUGGUCAAAUCUUACUUGGCUAUAGCUUUCCUUACCUGGUAGGAAAUAGUGUUAAUAUGAUGUAUCCUGUUGUUGAUAACCAAGUCACAUUUGGAUUUGUGCUUUGAUGUAAUAUGUCAAACCAGAAAAGGUAUUCUCCAUGACUCUAGGGGUUCUGCUCCCUAAAAAAUUAGUGGAUGGACCAGAAAUAUUCCUGCAGGCAGCUGAUCUCACUACCCUUGGUUGACAUGCCACACUUCCCUCAUAAUUUCCUUUACUUUAUAGAAAAUGUUAUGUCUUCAUGCUGACUGCAGAAGAGAGAAAAAAAGAGGAUACACAGAGGACCUGAAAUUCUCCAGCAACAUUGUACAAUAUCUAAGGAUAUCCUCCAAACCUGGUGUACCGCUGCAAAAACUCUGAUUUAUCUCAGCAUUCCCAAAAGUGUAAUUUUCUAUGGGUGAGAUUGCAUAGCUAUGUCUGCUGCUUCAUUCCAUUUUCUUUAGAAAAAUGUUUGAUGCUCUGCCCCAUACUUUCAGGCUCUCUGCAGCUGACUAAAACGGUGGAUGUCUUCCUAAAAUAGAUAGUCUGCUUCAACCACAAAUUGAUUGGGCUUUGACUAGAUAGAAUUAUAUGUGGGGCAGAAGGUCAGACGGAUGAUCGUAGUUUUCCUGCUUGGCUUUAGAUCAUUGGAUUUACUGGGGUACUAAGCCUCUCCAUUCAGCAUGAUUCAAGAGAGUAAAAUCCAGAGCUCUAUAAAGUGGGAAUUGUACAUUCAACCAAAUGGAGAAUGACUGAGUAUAGACAUAUGGCAGAUUCAUUUUUUCAGGCUGUUGAUAAUCUCAAAGAACAUGUAGUAACAGAACAAAUCAGCAUGUUGGUGGAGGUUCCCCCGCCACCCACAGCAAAUGAUAUUUUGGGGCAUAUAAAUAGGAGACAAUUACAAUAACACAUCCCUUUCAAUCUGAGUAAUUUCUACUGAAAUCCAAGAUGACUGCUGUCAAAAGGAGAUGUACAAAAGCAUAGCGUUCUUUCUGCUUUAAAAUAAUUACAUACUGCAAAUACGUGCGAGAGAAGGCAAAUCACUUAAGGACACUCUUGGAAGAAGUAACUUAGGGGAAAUAUGAAUGUCAGUCGGUUUCCUGACAUAGUUUAAAUGUUAAAUGACACAUAACCUAGGAUCACCCAAACUAGAUGGCAAAGCCUUGUUGUACGAUACUGUCUGACAAUGAAAUCCUGCAUCUCGACAACUGAAUUAAAACAUUUCUUUC